Molecule: ribosomal RNA, 467 nt
Filed under: uncultured bacterium
Lineage: Bacteria
Description: partial 16S ribosomal RNA
Rfam family: Bacterial small subunit ribosomal RNA
Source: RNAcentral
GACGAACGCUGGCGGCGUGCUUAACACAUGCAAGUCGAACGGAAAGGCCCUGCUUUUGUGGGGUGCUCGAGUGGCGAACGGGUGAGUAACACGUGAGUAACCUGCCCUUGACUUUGGGAUAACUUCAGGAAACUGGGGCUAAUACCGGAUAGGAGCUCCUGCUGCAUGGUGGGGGUUGGAAAGUUUCGGCGGUUGGGGAUGGACUCGCGGCUUAUCAGCUUGUUGGUGGAGUAGUGGCUUACCAAGGCUUUGACGGGUAGCCGGCCUGAGAGGGUGACCGGCCACAUUGGGACUGAGAUACGGCCCAGACGCCUACGGGAGGCAGCAGUGGGGAAUAUUGCACAAUGGGCGGAAGCCUGAUGCAGCAACGCCGCGUGCGGGAUGACGGCCUUCGGGUUGUAAACCGCUUUCGCCUGUGACGAAGCGUGAGUGACGGUAAUGGGUAAAGAAGCACCGGCUAACUACGU